AGUAUAUGUGUAUGAGGCCCAUGAGGCUAGGCCCAUGAGGCCCAUGUAUCCAUAAUUAUAUGGCCACCCUGGUUUAGGGUAAGCCCAUUAAUGAAACCCUAAUUCUAAC
Molecule: long non-coding RNA, 109 nt
Organism: Sorghum bicolor (sorghum)
Lineage: Eukaryota; Viridiplantae; Streptophyta; Magnoliopsida; Poales; Poaceae
Exons: 3
Source: RefSeq, a predicted model, not a curated record